GGAGGAGGAGGAGGAGGAGGAGGGACUCGGCGGGAGGAUGGGCUUGCUCUCAAUUUUGCGCAAGUUGAAAAGUGCACCAGACCAGGAGGUGAGAAUACUUCUCCUGGGCUUGGAUAAUGCUGGCAAGACCACUCUUCUGAAGCAGCUUGCAUCUGAAGAUAUCAGCCACAUCACACCUACCCAGGGUUUCAACAUCAAAAGUGUACAAUCACAAGGUUUUAAACUGAAUGUCUGGGACAUCGGUGGACAGAGGAAAAUCAGACCAUACUGGAGGAAUAAUUUUGAAAAUACCGAUAUUCUUAUAUAUGUAAUCGACAGUGCAGACAGAAAAAGAUUUGAAGAGACGGGUCAGGAACUAGCGGAAUUAUUGGAGGAAGAAAAACUAAGUUGUGUGCCAGUGCUCAUCUUUGCUAAUAAGCAGGAUUUGCUCACAGCAGCUCCUGCCUCUGAAAUUGCAGAAGGACUGAACCUGCAUACCAUCCGAGACCGAGUCUGGCAGAUCCAGUCUUGCUCAGCUCUCACAGGAGAGGGCGUUCAGGAUGGCAUGAACUGGGUCUGCAAAAAUGUCAAUGCAAAGAAGAAAUAAAAUCUAGACGAAUGGAGACGCGGGAGCUGCGGGAGCCGAAUUCGGUCCUGAAAAACACUAAUUUGCUGCUUUCUGACCAAAUGUUUUUCCAUCUGUGUACAGCUACAGCUGUUUGAAGGGAGGGAACAACACAGUUUAGAAAGAAUCCCCAUUCCAGCAGUAGAUUUAACUGAUCUCUGAGGUUCACUAUCCUUUUUCAAAUAAAGGAAUUAUAUUAUUUCCUCUGCA
RNA transcript from Piliocolobus tephrosceles (Ugandan red Colobus), 814 nucleotides. It is a transcript of the gene named ADP-ribosylation factor-like protein 3 pseudogene, with no coding region annotated. The transcript has a single exon. Lineage: Eukaryota; Metazoa; Chordata; Mammalia; Primates; Cercopithecidae. The record is from RefSeq and is a predicted model, not a curated record.